AACGGCCGUACCAUGCUGAAUAUACCGGUUCUCGUUAGAUCACCGAAGUCAAGCAUCAUUGGGCGCGGUCAGUACUUGGGAGGGUGACCACCUGGGAACACCGCGUGCCGUU
This 112-nucleotide ribosomal RNA is filed under the name Caerostris darwini. The record is from RNAcentral. Lineage: Eukaryota; Metazoa; Arthropoda; Arachnida; Araneae; Araneidae.